Molecule: ribosomal RNA, 253 nt
Filed under: uncultured bacterium
Lineage: Bacteria
Description: partial 16S ribosomal RNA
Rfam family: Bacterial small subunit ribosomal RNA
Source: RNAcentral
UACGAAAGGUGCGAGCGUUAAUCGGAAUUACUGGGCGUAAAGCGCGCGUAGGCGGUGUGUUAAGUCGGAUGUGAAAGCCCAGGGCUCAACCUUGGAAUUGCAUCCGAUACUGGCACGCUAGAGUGCAGUAGAGGGAGGUGGAAUUUCCGGUGUAGCGGUGAAAUGCGUAGAGAUCGGAAGGAACACCAGUGGCGAAGGCGGCCUCCUGGACUGACACUGACGCUGAGGUGCGAAAGCGUGGGGAGCAAACAGG